Long non-coding RNA from Osmerus eperlanus (European smelt), 510 nucleotides. RefSeq lists it as uncharacterized. The transcript is spliced from 3 exons. The record is from RefSeq and is a predicted model, not a curated record. Lineage: Eukaryota; Metazoa; Chordata; Actinopteri; Osmeriformes; Osmeridae.
CUAAUAAUAAGACAAAUUACUGCCAAGACCAACAGAAAAAACAGCACAUUUACUCCAAAUGAAAAAGGGCCCACAAAGGGUUCUGGAUACUUGUGAAUUUUAAUGAUAUGUAUAUAGUUGUGGAAUUUACUGAAACAAAAACAGUAAACAUUAUAUCAGACUCAUGGUUUGAAGAUGGUAUGACUUGGUGGCCAAACUACAAAAGUGAUGAACGCAUCAAUAGAGCUGUCCAAAAACGGGAGGAACCAGGACCAGACUGGAAACAGUAUGAUGUUCGAGUCCUCUUAAGAGCUGGUGACUACAUGAAGGCAAAAGAAAAGCUGAGGGUCUCACUGAUCUGUAACACUUCAGAGUUACAAACUGAUGACGAGGAACAAGUGAUUAUGAGGAAAAGAAAAAGUAAGCCAAGGUAAGAGAAAAUCUGAGGGCCUCACUGAUCUGUAACACUUCAGAGUUACAAACAGAUGAUGUUUUUAAUUAGGAUAAGUAAUGAGCCAAUGUUUUUCAAUU